GUAGGUGGCAAGCGUUGUCCGGAAUUAUUGGGCGUAAAGCGCGCGCAGGUGGUUCUUUAAGUCUGAUGUGAAAGCCCCCGGCUCAACCGGGGAGGGUCAUUGGAAACUGGGGAACUUGAGUGCAGGAGAGGAAAGUGGAAUUCCACGUGUAGCAGUGAAAUGCGUAGAUAUGUGGAGGAACACCAGUGGCGAAGGCGACUUUCUGGCCUGUAACUGACACUGAGGCGCGAAAGCGUGGGGAGCAAACAGGGAUUAGAUACCCUGGUAGUCCACGCCGUAAACGAUGAGUGCUAAGUGUUGGGGGGGUUUCCCGCCCCUCAGUGCUGCAGCUAACGCAUUAAGCACUCCGCCUGGGGAGUACGGUCGCAAGACUG
This 374-nucleotide ribosomal RNA is filed under the name uncultured organism. Its description in RNAcentral is "partial 16S ribosomal RNA". It matches the Rfam family "Bacterial small subunit ribosomal RNA", at positions 527 to 896 of the family's 1533-position model. The record is from RNAcentral.